Molecule: long non-coding RNA, 1810 nt
Organism: Monodelphis domestica (gray short-tailed opossum)
Lineage: Eukaryota; Metazoa; Chordata; Mammalia; Didelphimorphia; Didelphidae
Source: Ensembl
GACUCUCAACUCCGUUCUUGGGUUCCUCGAGGCUGUCCUCUCUUCUCCCCUUCUCUUCCUGGUUCAUUUUAUCACGUUUUUUGAGCUGGUGCUUUUUCAGCGGGAGCGGUCGCUGCACCUUCUCCAUGACUCCAACAGAAGUCGCUCUGGGGAGCUUCCCAAGGUCCUUGUUUCGGAGGUGGUAUCCUUCUGCGGCGGCAGGGGCUCCGUCGACCUCGCUGUCCCUACACAGGGUGGUAAAGGAGCAAGCCUGAAGCUGACUUUUGUUUGGGACAAAACCGAAAAUCCUUUUUAGCAUAUGGAGUGGGCUCCUCCCUGUGCCUCUUUGCUUCCUCUAGAUCCUCACCUCGGAUCUGGAGGCUAGAGAUUUUGGCAGCGAGACCCAGCACUGAUCCAAUUGCAACCCCAGCAACUCUAGCAAAGGGAUUGAACUACACGAGCCGCCAGUGUACUUUCCGGGAGUCUCUGACGGAAGCCGCUCUGGGGAGCUUCCUUUUUUCCUGAGGUGGAAUUUCUCGUCUGAGGCUGGGGCUCCAUCGACCCCUGUGCACGGUGGUGGAGGCAAGCCGGUGUCUGACUUUUCUUGUGGCCGAAACGGAAACUUUUUUCAUCAUAGCGAUGAUUCGAGAUCCAGGACUAGCCAGGAGGACUCGUGGGGGCUCCUCCCAGAGCCUCUUUGCCUCCUCCAGACCCUUGUGCUUUUUCAGACGCCGCAGCAGCAGCCACUACAACUUCCGGACUUCUACAGAAGUCGCUCUGGGGGCUUCCCAGAGUCCUUGGUUCGGAGGUCGUAUCCUUCACAGCAGCAGGGGCUUCAUGGACCCCGCUGUGCUGUCCCUGCGUGGGGUGGCGGAGGCGCAAUCCUGAAGCUGACUUCUGUUUGGGCUGAAACCGAAAACCGUUUUCAACAUAUGGAAGGGUCUAUUCUCUUUGCCUCCUCCAGACCAGAGACUUAGUCACCACCCAGCGACCGAUUUGGAGGGAUGUCGCUCUGGGGAGCUUCCCCAGCUCCUUGGUUCGGAGGUGGUAUCCUCUGGUGGUGGUCUUCCCCAAAGGGCUAUUAAGUGGCACUUCCAUCAAGAGGGUUAUUUCUACACUCAGUCCAAGAUGUGGAGAAUCUUUGUCUUGAUUAUUGUAGGCAAGUAGACAAAAGACCCUGAUACUUUCAUUAAACCUUUAGGUAGAUGUUGCUGGUUUGGGGCUUCUGAAACUCGGCCAUCUUGUCUCACCUCAACUAUGGAAAUAGUAUGAAUUCGUGUGUUUCUCUUUGAACUAGUCUCAGAAAGGAAUCCUAAUCUUAGUGUUUCUGGGAGAAUAGACUUUCAUCUGGGGGGGGCGGGGGGAGAGGGGAGGCAGCCCAUGUCUGUUCAUCUAUUGCUUCAGUCUGUGAGGGGCAGGAAGAGGUCUGGAAGAACCAUUCAAGUUCAUGGGGUUGUUUGGGGGAGUGGUGCUCACUGAUGAGAACUGGUUCCACCAUAGCAAACAUCCUUCUCCACCUCUAAAAGCAAGGAAGCACAUUGGAGAUUAACCUGUACCCUCUCUACUUGGCACAGCUAUAUGUGAGUUCAUCUUCCACAUACAGUAAAAUGAUGGAAAAGCAUGUUAUCUUUGCUGAUAACAUGGUUUUAAACAGCUUCUCACUAGAGGAGGAGUAGCCUCCAUUGAUGAUACCAUUAUAAAGAGUGGCUUGGCACCAGCUUAAAUUUUGUAGGUAUUCUCCAAUAUUUAAAGAAUACUAAAUCACAUUCUUUAAGAACAACAAAGCUCACUAACAGAUACAAUAAAUUGCGGAAGUUUGGGUCUUUCUCCA